Long non-coding RNA from Drosophila novamexicana, 1485 nucleotides. RefSeq lists it as uncharacterized. The transcript has 5 exons. The record is from RefSeq and is a predicted model, not a curated record. Lineage: Eukaryota; Metazoa; Arthropoda; Insecta; Diptera; Drosophilidae.
AAUUUGUGGGCAAAACAUUUUGCAGCCCUGUUACAGCGUGUCGGUAUUAACUUAUCGGCUAAACGCGUUUUUGGUAUUUUUAUUUGCAACGAUAUUUAUCGUCCUGCAUUACUCAUCUUUAGGAGCAGCAUCAAUGGCAGCGUUUCCUGAGUUUUGGCCCAGUAAUCCGCCGUGGGAACCUGCGUCUUAUUGAAAACAGUGGUAACUUCCUCUGUGGCGGCUAUCGCGCGUCAUGCAUCUCACUCAGCUGGCAGGUACGCUUAUGAUGGAUGGCCACUCGGGCAAUUCAGGAAGUGAGGGGAGCCCACAUGAAGCUGCUGGGCUAUACCGUCGCUCAUGCCAAUUAGUGGUUUGGCUCAGUGGAUCGUCGUGGAGCAGAUCAUCUUAUCUGAGUAUUGCAUGUCAGCUGGCUUGGCAGCCGCAGCAACGCAUUGGGUGGCCCGCAGUACAGGCCGGUUGCAGUUCAGGGUGCUAGGUGGAGCCCACAAGGAGCUGCUGAGCUGUUGCAUAUUUUGUUCGAGUGGGCGAUGCCGAUGCCGUCGCUCACUGCAAAUUGUGUAUUUAACCAGGAGGCCAUCGUGGGGCGUAUCAUCUUCUUGUUUGACCAGGAAUUGUUUGUAUGGGCGAUGCCGGAGCAGUCGCCCACUCCAAGUUGGGUAUUCAACCAGCAGGCCGUCGUGGAGCAUGUCAUCUUUUGGACAGCGCAUUUUCGUCGUGAUUUGGAAGCGUCCAGCGUCGUCUCUCACACGCCACGCAGCUUGGCCAGAAAUUGUUUGACUGGGCGAUACCGAAGCAAUCGCUCACCUCAAAUUGAGUACUGGGCCCAGUCGACCGUCAUAGGCGCAUCGUCUUUAUUUGCAGGACAGCACUUAGUGUCAUGGUUUGGAAACAUCCGUUGGCGUCUCUCACUCGCCACGAAGCUUGCCAGUAAUUGCAUGUCAGUUGGCUUGGCGGUCACAGUAACGCAUUCAAUCGGCUCAAUAGUAAUGGAUGGCCUGGAAGCAGGCCGGUAGCGAUUCAGAUUGCUAGAUGGAGCCCAACAGGAGCUGCUGAGCUGUUGCCCACUUUGUUUGAGAGGGCGGUGCCGGAGCUGUCGCUCACUCCAGGUUGAGUAUUUAGCCAGCAGGCCGUCGUGGAGCAUGUCAUCUUCUUGGACAGCGCAUCAUCUUCGUGAUUUGGAAAUAUCUGGUGGCGUCUCUCACACGCCACGCAGCUUGACCAGGAAUUGUUUGUAUGAGCGAUACCGAAGCAGUCGCUCACUUCAAAUGAGUAUUUGGCCCAAUUUACCGUCGUGGGUGCAUCGUCUUCUUGGGCAGCAGUUCUGCGUCUUGCUUUAGAAACAUUCAUUGUCGUCUCUCACACUCCACAAUCCGUCCAGUAGUUGCAUGUCAGCAGACCCGGGUGGCCCGCAAACAGGCCGGUUGCAGUUCAGGAUGCUAGAUGGAGCCCACAAGGAGCUGCUGGGCUGUUGAAUACCUUGUUCGA